GACGAACGCUGGCGGCGUGCCUAACACAUGCAAGUCGAGCGAAUGAAGUUCCUUCGGGCAUGGAUUUAGCGGCGGACGGGUGAGUAACACGUGGGCAACCUGCCUCAUAGAGGGGAAUAGCUUUCCGAAAGGGAGAUUAAUACCCCAUAAGAUUGUAGUAUCGCAUGAUACAGCAAUUAAAGGAGCAAUCCGCUAUGAGAUGGGCCCGCGGCGCAUUAGCUAGUUGGUGAGGUAACGGCUCACCAAGGCGACGAUGCGUAGCCGACCUGAGAGGGUGAGAGGCCACAUUGGGACUGAGACGCGGCCCAGACUCCUACGGGAGGGGGCAGUGGGGGAUAUUGCACAAUGGGGGAAACGCUGAUGCAGCAACGCCGGGUGAGUGAUGACGGCCUUCGGGUUGUAAAGCUCUGUCUUCAGGGACGAUAAUGACGGUACCUGAGGAGGAAGCCACGGCUAACUACGUG
This 464-nucleotide ribosomal RNA is filed under the name uncultured bacterium. Its description in RNAcentral is "partial 16S ribosomal RNA". It matches the Rfam family "Bacterial small subunit ribosomal RNA", at positions 28 to 507 of the family's 1533-position model. The record is from RNAcentral.